This 440-nucleotide ribosomal RNA is filed under the name uncultured bacterium. RNAcentral describes it as "partial 16S ribosomal RNA". It matches the Rfam family "Bacterial small subunit ribosomal RNA", at positions 338 to 795 of the family's 1533-position model. The record is from RNAcentral.
CCUACGGGAGGCAGCAGUAGGGAAUAUUGCUCAAUGGGGGAAACCCUGAAGCAGCAACGCCGCGUGGAGGAUGAAGGUUUUCGGAUUGUAAACUCCUUUUGUUAGAGAAGAUAAUGACGGUAUCUAACGAAUAAGCACCGGCUAACUCCGUGCCAGCAGCCGCGGUAAUACGGAGGGUGCAAGCGUUACUCGGAAUCACUGGGCGUAAAGAGCGAGUAGGCGGGAUAGCAAGUCAGAUGUGAAAUCCUAGGGCUUAACCAUAGAACUGCAUUUGAAACUGUUAUUCUAGAGUAUGGGAGAGGUAGGUGGAAUUCUUGGUGUAGGGGUAAAAUCCGUAGAGAUCAAGAGGAAUACUCAUUGCGAAGGCGACCUGCUAGAACAUAACUGACGCUGAUGCGCGAAAGCGUGGGGAGCAAACAGGAUUAGAUACCCUUGUAGUC